RNAcentral lists this unclassified non-coding RNA (400 nucleotides) under uncultured fungus. RNAcentral describes it as "sequence contains ITS1". The stretch from base 1 to 100 matches the Rfam family "5.8S ribosomal RNA", at positions 50 to 154 of the family's 154-position model. Lineage: Eukaryota; Fungi. The record is from RNAcentral.
GAAAUGCGAUACGUCAUGCGAAUUGCAGAAACUUGUGAGUCAUCAAAAUUUUGAACGCAACUUGCACUUCCCUCUGGGGAGUAUGUCUGUUGGAGUGUCUGUUCAUCCCCACUUCUCGCCCAGCGUCUUGUCACAGAGACGAUUGGAUGAGAGAGCGCCGGCCGCUUGUCGCACCGCAGUGUCAAAGCUGCGGACGGGCAAGCGAGCCUAGAUGAGACACCACCGAUCAACCGAACUCGCCCCUGCUUCGGGAUCGCCGGCCGUCAAAAAGCCGACAGUCCUCAACAGCUCGGUCGACGCGACGUGAAAGCAGCCUUCGCGGGCAGCUCCCAUAACGCGUCUUCACUCCAAACGAGCCCAAGAAGCCCCGGCACCCAAAGAGUUCAUCCGACCGGACCUC